This 244-nucleotide ribosomal RNA is filed under the name uncultured bacterium. Its description in RNAcentral is "partial 16S ribosomal RNA". It matches the Rfam family "Bacterial small subunit ribosomal RNA", at positions 528 to 772 of the family's 1533-position model. The record is from RNAcentral.
GAGGAUGCGAGCGUUAUCCGGAUUUAUUGGGUUUAAAGGGUGCGUAGGCGGUGCAUUAAGUCAGCGGUAAAAGCCCGGGGCUCAACCCCGGCGAGCCGUUGAAACUGGUGUGCUUGAGAGGCCGAGAGGUAUGCGGAAUGCGCGGUGUAGCGGUGAAAUGCAUAGAUAUCGCGCAGAACUCCGAUUGCGAAGGCAGCAUACCGGCGGUCAUCUGACGCUGAGGCACGAAAGCGUGGGGAUCAAA